RNAcentral lists this long non-coding RNA (330 nucleotides) under Elaeis guineensis (African oil palm). RNAcentral's name for it is "long non-coding RNA (EGUI_LNC007564)". Lineage: Eukaryota; Viridiplantae; Streptophyta; Magnoliopsida; Arecales; Arecaceae. The record is from RNAcentral.
AUAGAUGAAAGGGAGUUAGCCGCAAUACUACCAAUUUAUAAUAAAACAUAGAACAGAGAAGAAUGAGCUCUUAAUUUAUUACCGAGGAGAGCUUUUAAUAAAUGGUCAUGGAGAUUGGUGAAGCUUUGAAGGGUUUUCUGUCAAGCCAACUUCUACCGGCGUUAUUAUUUGGAAAUUUGCUUUGCAGAACGUCCGACCACAAAAGUAUGGAGGAAGAUUUUGUUCCGAAACUCUUCUGAUAAAGACUGAUCGCAAUAUUUAUCCAAUUCUUAUUGUAUUAACAAAAAUAAUAUGUAAAUUUUUUUAUGCACCAUGGGCAGUGUAGAAUCU